UCCACACGACUCUCGGCAACGGAUAUCUCGGCUCUCGCAUCGAUGAAGAACGUAGCGAAAUGCGAUACCUGGUGUGAAUUGCAGAAUCCCGUGAACCAUCGAGUCUUUGAACGCAAGUUGCGCCCGAGGCCAUCCGGUCGAGGGCACGCCUGCCUGGGCGUCAC
RNAcentral lists this ribosomal RNA (164 nucleotides) under Oryza rhizomatis. Its description in RNAcentral is "5.8S ribosomal RNA". It matches the Rfam family "5.8S ribosomal RNA". Rfam says of the family: 5.8S ribosomal RNA (5.8S rRNA) is a component of the large subunit of the eukaryotic ribosome. Lineage: Eukaryota; Viridiplantae; Streptophyta; Magnoliopsida; Poales; Poaceae. The record is from RNAcentral.